AUUGAACGCUGGCGGCAGGCCUAACACAUGCAAGUCGAGCGGAUGAAGGGAGCUUGCUCCUGGAUUCAGCGGCGGACGGGUGAGUAAUGCCUAGGAAUCUGCCUGGUAGUGGGGGAUAACGUCCGGAAACGGGCGCUAAUACCGCAUACGUCCUGAGGGAGAAAGUGGGGGAUCUUCGGACCUCACGCUAUCAGAUGAGCCUAGGUCGGAUUAGCUAGUUGGUGGGGUAAAGGCCUACCAAGGCGACGACCCGUAACUGGUCUGAGAGGAUGAUCAGUCACACUGGAACUGAGACACGGUCCAGACUCCUACGGGAGGCAGCAGUGGGGAAUAUUGGACAAUGGGCGAAAGCCUGAUCCAGCCAUGCCGCGUGUGUGAAGAAGGUCUUCGGAUUGUAAAGCACUUUAAGUUGGGAGGAAGGGCAAUAAGUUAAUACCUUGCUGUUUUGACGUUACCAACAGAAUAAGCACCGGCUAACUUCGUG
Molecule: ribosomal RNA, 484 nt
Filed under: uncultured bacterium
Lineage: Bacteria
Description: partial 16S ribosomal RNA
Rfam family: Bacterial small subunit ribosomal RNA
Source: RNAcentral